CCUACGGGGGGCUGCAGUGGGGAAUAUUGCACAAUGGGCGCAAGCCUGAUGCAGCGACGCCGCGUGAGCGAUGAAGGCCUUCGGGUCGUAAAGCUCUGUCCUAUGGGAAGAAAAAUGACGGUACCAUAGGAGGAAGCCCCGGCUAACUACGUGCCAGCAGCCGCGGUAAUACGUAGGGGGCGAGCGUUGUCCGGAAUGACUGGGCGUAAAGGGUACGUAGGCGGCCCUGCAAGUCAGAGGUGAAAGGCUACGGCUCAACCGUAGUAAGCCUUUGAAACUGUAGGGCUUGAGUGCAGGAGAGGAGAGUGGAAUUCCCAGUGUAGCGGUGAAAUGCGUAGAUAUUGGGAGGAACACCAGUUGCGAAGGCGGCUCUCUGGACUGUAACUGACGCUGAGGCACGAAAGCGUGGGGAGCGAACAGGAUUAGAUACCCUGGUAGUC
This 440-nucleotide ribosomal RNA is filed under the name uncultured bacterium. RNAcentral's name for it is "bacterial SSU rRNA". It matches the Rfam family "Bacterial small subunit ribosomal RNA", at positions 338 to 795 of the family's 1533-position model. The record is from RNAcentral.